AUGAACGCUAGCGACAGGCUUAACACAUGCAAGUCGAGGGGUAACAGGGUAGCAAUACCGCUGACGACCGGCGCACGGGUGAGUAACGCGUAUGCAACCUGCCUAUAACUGGGGAAUAGCUCCCUGAAAGGGGAAUUAACACCGCAUAACACUAUUGAUUCGCAUGGAUUGGUAGUUAAAUGUAGCGAUACAGGUUAUAGAUGGGCAUGCGUGACAUUAGCUAGUUGGUGAGGUAACGGCUCACCAAGGCUACGAUGUCUAGGGGUUCUGAGAGGAAGGUCCCCCCACACUGGUACUGAGACACGGACCAGACUCCUACGGGAGGCAGCAGUGAGGAAUAUUGGUCAAUGGGCGCAAGCCUGAACCAGCCAUGUCGCGUGCAGGAAGAACUGCCCUAUGGGUUGUAAACUGCUUUUAUAGUAGAAGAAACACAUCUACGCGUAGAUGUCUGCCAGUAUACUAUGAAUAAGCAUCGGCUAACUCCGUGCCAGCCGCGGC
RNAcentral lists this ribosomal RNA (498 nucleotides) under uncultured bacterium. RNAcentral describes it as "bacterial SSU rRNA". It matches the Rfam family "Bacterial small subunit ribosomal RNA", at positions 29 to 518 of the family's 1533-position model. The record is from RNAcentral.